RNAcentral lists this ribosomal RNA (441 nucleotides) under uncultured bacterium. Its description in RNAcentral is "partial 16S ribosomal RNA". It matches the Rfam family "Bacterial small subunit ribosomal RNA", at positions 338 to 795 of the family's 1533-position model. The record is from RNAcentral.
CCUACGGGGGGCAGCAGUGGGGAAUAUUGCACAAUGGCCGAAACCCUGAUGCAGCGACGCCGCGUGAGUGAAGACGUAUUUCGGUAUGUAAAGCUCUAUCAGCAGGGAAGAAGAAAGCCGGUACCUGACUAAGAAGCCCCUGCUAACUACGUACCAGCAGCCUAGGUAAUACGUAGGGGGCAAGCGUUAUCCGGAGUUACUGGGGGUGAAGGGAGCGUAGACGGGUGUGCAGUGCUGAAGGGAAAGCCCAGGGCUCAACCCUGGGACUGCUUUGGAAACUGUGGAGCUAGAGUGCUGGAGAGGUAAGUGGAAUGCCUAGUGUAGCGGUGAAAUGCGUAGAUAUUAGGAGGAACACCAGUGGCGAAGGCGGCUUACUGGACAGUAACUGACGUUGAGGCUCGAAAGCGUGGGGAGCAAACAGGAUUAGAUACCCUGGUAGUC